This 464-nucleotide ribosomal RNA is filed under the name uncultured bacterium. RNAcentral's name for it is "partial 16S ribosomal RNA". It matches the Rfam family "Bacterial small subunit ribosomal RNA", at positions 29 to 507 of the family's 1533-position model. The record is from RNAcentral.
ACGAACGCUGGCGGCGUGCUUCACACAUGCAAGUCGAACGGAAAGGCCCUGCUUGCCGGGUACUCGAGUGGCGAACGGGUGAGUAACACGUGGGUGAUCUGCCCUGCACUUCGGGAUAAGCCUGGGAAACUGGGUCUAAUACCGGAUAGGAGCCAUUUUUAGUGUGAUGGUUGGAAAGUUUUUUCGGUGUAGGAUGAGCUCGCGGCCUAUCAGCUUGUUGGUGGGGUAAUGGCCUACCAAGGCGGCGACGGGUAGCCGGCCUGAGAGGGUGGACGGCCACAUUGGGACUGGGAUACGGCCCAGACUCCUACGGGAGGCAGCAGUGGGGAAUAUUGCACAAUGGGCGCAAGCCUGAUGCAGCGACGCCGCGGGGGGGAUGACGGCCUUCGGGUUGGAAACUCCUUUCGCUAGGGACGAAGCUUUUUGUGACGGUACCUAGAGAAGAAGCACCGGCUAACUACGUG